Molecule: long non-coding RNA, 327 nt
Organism: Magallana angulata
Lineage: Eukaryota; Metazoa; Mollusca; Bivalvia; Ostreida; Ostreidae
Exons: 3
Source: RefSeq, a predicted model, not a curated record
UCCUGGUAGGUACACGGCUCCUGGUGUAGGUACAUGCUGCCCACCCAGGCAUCCAAUACGAUCAGUGUUCCGUCUCCGAGCGUCAGACAUCUACCGCCUGAUGUAUUAAAACAAGCCAAUAGGAAAACGCCAGAUGAGAGUCACGAAGCCCGUUGAUGCAGACAGCCAAUAAAGAGAAUGAAAACACGGUCGCCGUACUUAUGCAGACAUGCCAUUAUCAAUGGGCUUCAUACAACAGUGCACUGUGUCAGCCUGAUGUUAAGGCGCUCACGAGACCGGCUGGUACAAGAAGCAGUAAAGGAAGUACCGAGGCUCCCAACAACAGAG